GACGAACGCUGGCGGCGUGCCUAAUACAUGCAAGUCGAACGAAACUUUCUUACACCGAAUGCUUGCGUUCACCGUAAGAAGUUGAGUGGCGGACGGGUGAGUAACACGUGGGUAACCUGCCUAAAAGAAGGGGAUAACACUUGGAAACAGGUGCUAAUACCGUAUAUCUCUAAGGAUCGCAUGAUCCUUAGAUGAAAGAUGGUUCCGCUAUCGCUUUUAGAUGGACCCGCGGCGUAUUAACUAGUUGGUGGGGUAACGGCCUACCAAGGUGAUGAUACGUAGCCGAACUGAGAGGUUGAUCGGCCACAUUGGGACUGAGACACGGCCCAAACUCCUACGGGAGGCAGCAGUAGGGAAUCUUCCACAAUGGACGCAAGUCUGAUGGAGCAACGCCGCGUGAGUGAAGAAGGUCUUCGGAUCGUAAAACCCUGUUGUUAGAGAAGAACACGAGUGAGAGUAACUGUUCAUUCGAUGAAGGAUCUAACCACCAGCACGC
This 496-nucleotide ribosomal RNA is filed under the name Ligilactobacillus salivarius. Its description in RNAcentral is "bacterial SSU rRNA". It matches the Rfam family "Bacterial small subunit ribosomal RNA", at positions 28 to 494 of the family's 1533-position model. Lineage: Bacteria; Bacillati; Bacillota; Bacilli; Lactobacillales; Lactobacillaceae. The record is from RNAcentral.